Molecule: ribosomal RNA, 536 nt
Filed under: uncultured bacterium
Lineage: Bacteria
Description: bacterial SSU rRNA
Rfam family: Bacterial small subunit ribosomal RNA
Source: RNAcentral
AAAGAGUUUGAUCAUGGCUCAGAGUGAACGCUGGCGGCGUGCCUAACACAUGCAAGUCGAGCGAAGUGGUAGCUGUAGCAAUACAGUGUACGCUUAGCGGCAGACGGGUGAGUAACACGUAGGGAACCUUCCUCUUAGCGGGGGAUAGCCAGCCGAAAGGUUGGGUAAUACCGCGUACGAUUCUUCGAAGGCAUCUUUGGAGAAUGAAACAUCCGCAAGGAUGACUGAGAGAGGGCCCUGCGGCCUAUCAGCUAGUUGGUGAGGUAACGGCUCACCAAGGCUACGACGGGUAACCGGCCUGAAAGGGCGAUCGGUCACACUGACACUGAGACACGGGUCAGACACCUACGGGUGGCAGCAGUGAGGAAUCUUGGACAAUGGGGGCAACCCUGAUCCAGCGACGCCGCGUGGAGGACGAAGGUCUUCGGAUUGUAAACUCCUUUUGUUCGGGAAUAAAAAAUCUGUGGAAACACGGAAAAUGAAUGUACCGGAUGAAUAAGCCACGGCUAACUUCGUGCUAGCAGCCGCGGUAAUAC